UGAAAAGCUGGCGGAUGAGUUGUGGCUAGCGGAGAAAUUCCAAUCGAACUCAGAUAUAGCUGGUUCUCCCCGAAAUAGCUUUAGGGCUAGCGUCAAUGUAAGGCCACUGGAGGUAGAGCACUGAAUGUAUGAUGGCCCCAUCUCGGGGUACUGAAUAUAAUCAAACUCCGAAUGCCAGUGGAUAGUAGUUGGCAGUCAGACUAUGGGUGAUAAGGUCCGUAGUCGAAAGGGAAACAGCCCAGACCAUCAGUUAAGGUCCCAAAAUUCAUGCUAAGUGGAAAAGGAUGUGGGGAUGCACAGACAACUAGGAGGUUGGCUCAGAAGCAGCCAUCCUUUAAAGAGUGCGUAACAGCUCACUAGUCGAGUGACCCUGCGCCGAAAAUGUACCGGGGCUAAGUAUGAUACCGAAACUAUGGAUUUAUUGUUUCAAUAAAUGGUAGGGGAGCGUUCUAUACUGCGUUGAAGCUGUACCGUAAGGAGCAGUGGAGUGUAUAGAAGUGAGAAUGCCGGUGUGAGUAGCGAGAUGUCAGUGAGAAUCUGACACACCGAUUGCCUAAGGUUUCCAGGGGAAGGCUCGUCCUCCCUGGGUAAGUCGGGACCUAAGAUGAGGCUGAAAAGCGUAGUCGAUGGACAACAGGUUGAUAUUCCUGUACCCGAUACAUAAGUGAAGGAAUGACAGAGAAGGCUAGGUUAUGCCAGCGACUGGAAGUGCUGGUUUAAGCGAAGGAGCUGUAUGGUAGGCAAAUCCGCCAUGCAAAGCAAAGGCGUUACGAGGAGUGAACCCGUGAGGAAGUAGCGAAGUAACUGAUGCCAGCUCUCAAGAAAAGUUUCUAGCGUUAAUUAUGUAUUGGCCCGUACCAAAACCGACACAGGUAGGCAAGGAGAGAAUCCUAAGGUGAGCGAGAGAACUGUUGCCAAGGAACUCGGCAAAAUGACCCCGUAACUUCGGGAGAAGGGGUGCUCGUAAGAGCCGCAGUGAAGAGGCCCAAGCGACUGUUUAACUAAAACACAGCUCUCUGCAAAGUCGCAAGACGAAGUAUAGGGGGUGACACCUGCCCGGUGCUGGAAGGUUAAGGGAAUAUGUUAGAAUUCGUUCGAAGCAUUGAACUGAAGCCCCAGUGAACGGCGGCCGUAACUAUAACGGUCCUAAGGUAGCGAAAUUCCUUGUCGGGUAAGUUCCGACCCGCACGAAAGGUGUAACGAUUUGGGCGCUGUCUCGGCAGCAGACUCGGUGAAAUCUUAGUACCGGUAAAGAUGCCGGUUACCCGCAACUAGACGGAAAGACCCCAUGGAGCUUUACUGUAGCUUGAUAUUGAACUUUGAGCCUACAUGUACAGGAUAGGUGGGAGACUAUGAAGCAUGUACGCUAGUAUAUGUGGAGUCGCCAUUGGGAUACCACUCUUGUAUGUUUGAAGUUCUAACCGCGUACCGUGAUCCGGUACCGGGAGAGUGUCAGGUGGGCAGUUUGACUGGGGCGGUCGCCUCCUAAAGAGUAACGGAGGCGCCCAAAGGUACCCUCAGAUUGGUUGGAAAUCAAUCGACGAGCGUAAAGGCAGAAGGGUGCUUGACUGCGAGACCUACAAGUCGAGCAGGGACGAAAGUCGGGCUUAGUGAUCCGGCGGUUCCGAGUGGAAGGGCCGUCGCUUAACGGAUAAAAGCUACCCUGGGGAUAACAGGCUAAUCUCGCCCAAGAGUUCACAUCGACGGCGAGGUUUGGCACCUCGAUGUCGGCUCAUCGCAUCCUGGAGCUGAAUUAGGUUCCAAGGGUUGGGCUGUCCGCCCAUUAAAGCGGUACGCGAGCUGGGUUCAGAACGUCGUGAGACAGUUCGGUCCCUAUCUGUUGUGGGCGUAGGAAAUUUGAGGAGCGCUGUCCCUAGUACGAGAGGACCGGGAUGGACAUACCGCUGGUGUACCAGUUGUUCUGCCAAGGGCAUCGCUGGGUAGCUAAGUAUGGACUGGAUAAGCGCUGAAAGCAUCUAAGCACGAAGCCAACUCCAAGAUGAGAUUCCCCAUACGUAAGUAGUAAGACCCCUGAGAGACGAUCAGGUUGAUAGGUCAGAGGUGGAAGCAUAGUGAUAUGUGGAGCUGACUGAUACUAAUAGGUCGAGGUUUUAAUC
This 2117-nucleotide ribosomal RNA is filed under the name Erysipelothrix rhusiopathiae ATCC 19414. RNAcentral's name for it is "bacterial LSU rRNA". It matches the Rfam family "Bacterial large subunit ribosomal RNA", at positions 790 to 2925 of the family's 2925-position model. Lineage: Bacteria; Bacillati; Bacillota; Erysipelotrichia; Erysipelotrichales; Erysipelotrichaceae. The record is from RNAcentral.